AGUGAACGCUGGCGGUAGGCCUAACACAUGCAAGUCGAACGGCAGCACAGUAAGAGCUUGCUCUUACGGGUGGCGAGUGGCGGACGGGUGAGGAAUACAUCGGAAUCUACUUUUUCGUGGGGGAUAACGUAGGGAAACUUACGCUAAUACCGCAUACGACCUACGGGUGAAAGCAGGGGAUCUUCGGACCUUGCGCGAUUGAAUGAGCCGAUGUCGGAUUAGCUAGUUGGCGGGGUAAAGGCCCACCAAGGCGACGAUCCGUAGCUGGUCUGAGAGGAUGAUCAGCCACACUGGAACUGAGACACGGUCCAGACUCCUACGGGAGGCAGCAGUGGGGAAUAUUGGACAAUGGGCGCAAGCCUGAUCCAGCCAUACCGCGUGGGUGAAGAAGGCCUUCGAGUUGUAAAGCCCUUUUGUUGGGAAGGAAAAGCAGCAGGUUAAUACCCCGCUGUUCUGACGGUACCCAAAGAAUAAGCACCGGCUAACUUCGUG
This 492-nucleotide ribosomal RNA is filed under the name uncultured bacterium. RNAcentral's name for it is "partial 16S ribosomal RNA". It matches the Rfam family "Bacterial small subunit ribosomal RNA", at positions 29 to 507 of the family's 1533-position model. The record is from RNAcentral.